CCCUACGGGGUGCGGCCUGGAGAGGCAACUGCCCAGUACAUCAAGAAUGUGCUGGACCGCAUUGUGCUGCCCACCGCCAUUUUCCUCGCGUUCCUUGCGAUUGUUCCCAACCUUGCCAUGCGGAACCAGCAGAUUCCAGCAUUCGCGUUUGGCGGGACUUCUCUGCUUAUUAUUAUUGGCGUUGCACUUGAAACUGUUCAGGAAAUAGAGGCGUACAUGAUGAUGCGUCACUACAAGGGGUUCAUGAAGUAAUGAUGCAUCACCCGCGUAUCGUUCUGUUGGGUUUGCCGGGGUCGGGAAAGGGCACUCAGGCGGCUUUUCUUGCCGGGAAGUUCAGGGUGCCCACGUUUUCGAGUGGCGAGUAUUUCCGGAAUCUGCGGCGGGGGAGC
This 389-nucleotide ribosomal RNA is filed under the name uncultured prokaryote. RNAcentral's name for it is "partial 16S ribosomal RNA". The record is from RNAcentral.